UGGGGGAUAUUGCACAAUGGGGGAAACCCUGAUGCAGCGACGCCGCGUGAGUGAAGAAGUAUUUCGGUAUGUAAAGCUCUAUCAGCAGGGAAGAAAAUGACGGUACCUGACUAAGAAGCCCCGGCUAACUACGUGCC
Molecule: ribosomal RNA, 137 nt
Filed under: uncultured bacterium
Lineage: Bacteria
Description: partial 16S ribosomal RNA
Rfam family: Bacterial small subunit ribosomal RNA
Source: RNAcentral